This 330-nucleotide unclassified non-coding RNA is filed under the name soil metagenome. RNAcentral describes it as "partial contains 5.8S ribosomal RNA, internal transcribed spacer 2, and large subunit ribosomal RNA". The stretch from base 1 to 120 matches the Rfam family "5.8S ribosomal RNA", at positions 35 to 154 of the family's 154-position model. The record is from RNAcentral.
GAUGAAGAACGUAGUGAAAUGCGAUAAGUAAUGUGAAUUGCAGAAUUCAGUGAAUCAUCGAAUCUUUGAACGCACAUUGCGCCCCCUGGUAUUCCGGGGGGCAUGCCUGUUCGAGCGUCAUUUCACCACUCAAGCCUCGCUUGGUAUUGGGCAACGCGGUCCGCCGCGUGCCUCAAAUCGUCCGGCUGGGUCUUCUGUCCCCUAAGCGUUGUGGAAACUAUUCGCUAAAGGGUGUUCGGGAGGCUACGCCGUAAAACAACCCCAUUUCUAAGGUUGACCUCGGAUCAGGUAGGGAUACCCGCUGAACUUAAGCAUAUCAUAAGCGGAGGA